This 406-nucleotide ribosomal RNA is filed under the name uncultured bacterium. RNAcentral's name for it is "partial 16S ribosomal RNA". It matches the Rfam family "Bacterial small subunit ribosomal RNA", at positions 30 to 526 of the family's 1533-position model. The record is from RNAcentral.
AUUGAACGCUGGCGGCAGGCCUAACACAUGCAAGUCGCGCGAGCGGCGGACGGGUGAGUAAUGUCUGGGAAACUGCCUGAUGGAGGGGGAUAACUACUGGAAACGGUAGCUAAUACCGCAUACCAUCAGAUUUGCCCAGAUGGGAUUAGCUCGUAGGUGGGGUAACGGCUCACGUAGGCGCCGCUCCCUAGCUGGUCUGAGAGGAUGACCAGUCACACUGGAACUGAGACACGGCCCAGACGCCUACGGGAGGAAGCAGUGGGGAAUAUUGCACAAUGGUCGCAAGCCUGAUGCAGCCAUGCCGCGUGUGUGAAGAAGGCCUUCGGGUUGUAAAGUACUUUCAGCGGGGAGGCGUUACCCGCAGAAGAAGCACCGGCUAACUCCGUGCCAGCAGCCGCGGUAAUUC